RNAcentral lists this ribosomal RNA (404 nucleotides) under uncultured bacterium. Its description in RNAcentral is "bacterial SSU rRNA". It matches the Rfam family "Bacterial small subunit ribosomal RNA", at positions 355 to 776 of the family's 1533-position model. The record is from RNAcentral.
UAGGGAAUUUUGCGCAAUGGGCGAAAGCCUGACGCAGCAACACCGCGUGCGGGAUGAAGGCCUUCGGGUUGUAAACCGCUGUCAGCAGGGAAUAUAAUGACUGUACCUGCAGAGGAAGCAUCGGCUAACUACGUGCCAGCAGCCGCGGUAAGACGUAGGAUGCAAGCGUUGUCCGGAAUUAUUGGGCGUAAAGAGUUCGUAGGCGGUUACUUAAGUCUGGUGUUAAAUACUGGAGCUCAACUCCGGCAUGGCAUUGGAAACUGGGUAGCUAGAGUGCGGUAGAGGUCACGGGAAUUCCUGGUGUAGCGGUGAAAUGCGUAGAUAUCAGGAGGAACACCUGUAGCGAAAGCGCGUGACUGGGCCGUAACUGACGCUGAGGAACGAAAGCCAGGGGAGCGAAAGGG